GGUUAAGUUAGAAAGGGCGCACGGUGGAUGCCUUGGCACUAGGAGCCGAAGAAGGACGGGACUAACACCGAUAUGCUUUGGGGAGCUGUACGUAAGCGUUGAUCCAGAGAUUUCCGAAUGGGGGAACCCACUAUCUUUAGUCGGAUAGUAUCCUUACGUGAAUACAUAGCGUGAGGAAGGCAGACCCAGGGAACUGAAACAUCUAAGUACCUGGAGGAAGAGAAAGAAAAAUCGAUUUCCUGAGUAGCGGCGAGCGAAACGGAAAGAGCCCAAACCAAGAAGCUUGCUUCUUGGGGUUGUAGGACACUCUAUACGGAGUUACAAAAGAAAGUUAUAAAUGAAGCGGUCUGGAAAGGCCCGCCAAAGACGGUAACAGCCCGGUAGUUGAAAUAGCUUUCCCUCCAGAGUGGAUCCUGAGUACGGCGGAACACGUGAAAUUCCGUCGGAAUCCGGGAGGACCAUCUCCCAAGGCUAAAUACUCCCUAGUGACCGAUAGUGAACCAGUACCGUGAGGGAAAGGUGAAAAGCACCCCGGAAGGGGAGUGAAACAGUUCCUGAAACCGUGUGCCUACAAGUAGUUAGAGCCCGUUAAUGGGUGAUAGCGUGCCUUUUGUAGAAUGAACCGGCGAGUUACGAUUUGUUGCAAGGUUAAGCGGAAAAAGCGGAGCCGUAGCGAAAGCGAGUCUGAAUAGGGCGCAUAAGUAACAGGUCGUAGACCCGAAACCAGGUGAUCUACCCAUGUCCAGGAUGAAGGUAAGGUAAUACUUACUGGAGGUCCGAACCCACGCACGUUGAAAAGUGCGGGGAUGAGGUGUGGGUAGCGGAGAAAUUCCAAUCGAACUUGGAGAUAGCUGGUUCUCUCCGAAAUAGCUUUAGGGCUAGCCUCGAGGUAAAGAGUCAUGGAGGUAGAGCACUGUUUGGACUAGGGGCCCUUCUCGGGUUACCGAAUUCAGAUAAACUCCGAAUGCCAUGUACUUAUACUCGGGAGUCAGACUGCGAGUGAUAAGAUCCGUAGUCGAAAGGGAAACAGCCCAGACCACCAGUUAAGGUCCCCAAAUAUAUGUUAAGUGGAAAAGGAUGUGGGGUUGCUUAGACAACCAGGAUGUUGGCUUAGAAGCAGCCACCAUUGAAAGAGUGCGUAAUAGCUCACUGGUCGAGUGACCCCGCGCCGAAAAUGUACCGGGGCUAAACAUAUUACCGAAACUGUGGAUGAACCUCUUUAGAGGUUCGUGGUAGGAGAGCGUUCUAAGGGCGGUGAAGUCAGACCGGAAGGACUGGUGGAGCGCUUAGAAGUGAGAAUGCCGGUAUGAGUAGCGAAAGAAGGGUGAGAAUCCCUUCCACCGAAUAUCUAAGGUUUCCUGAGGAAGGCUCGUCCGCUCAGGGUUAGUCGGGACCUAAGCCGAGGCCGAUAGGCGUAGGCGAUGGACAACAGGUAGAGAUUCCUGUACCAGUGCUAAUUGUUUAACCGAUGGGGUGACACAGAAGGAUAGGGAAUCGCACGAAUGGAAAUGUGCGUCCAAGCAGUGAGUGUGAGAAGUAGGCAAAUCCGCUUCUCGCGAAGCAUGAGCUGUGAUGGGGAAGGAAAUUAAGUACGGAAGUUCCUGAUUUCACGCUGUCAAGAAAAGCCUCUAGGAAGAGUAGUACUGCCCGUACCGCAAACCGACACAGGUAGAUGAGGAGAGAAUCCUAAGGUGAGCGAGAGAACUCUCGUUAAGGAACUCGGCAAAAUGACCCCGUAACUUCGGGAGAAGGGGUGCUCUAUUAGGGUGCAAGCCCGAGAGAGCCGCAGUGAAUAGGCCCAGGCGACUGUUUAGCAAAAACACAGGUCUCUGCAAAACCGUAAGGUGACGUAUAGGGGCUGACGCCUGCCCGGUGCUGGAAGGUUAAGAGGAGUGCUUAGCUUCGGCGAAGGUACGAAUUGAAGCCCCAGUAAACGGCGGCCGUAACUAUAACGGUCCUAAGGUAGCGAAAUUCCUUGUCGGGUAAGUUCCGACCCGCACGAAAGGCGCAACGAUCUGGGCACUGUCUCAACGAGAGACUCGGUGAAAUUAUAGUACCUGUGAAGAUGCAGGUUACCCGCGACAGGACGGAAAGACCCCGUGGAGCUUUACUGCAACCUGAUAUGGAAUGUUUGUACCGCUUGUACAGGAUAGGUAGGAGCCGAAGAGACGUGUGCGCUAGCAUACGAGGAGGCAAUGGUGGGAUACUACCCUGGCUGUAUGACCAUUCUAACCCGCCACGCUUAGCGCGUGGGGAGACAGUGUCAGGUGGGCAGUUUGACUGGGGCGGUCGCCUCCUAAAGAGUA
This 2306-nucleotide ribosomal RNA is filed under the name Listeria monocytogenes. Its description in RNAcentral is "partial 23S ribosomal RNA". It matches the Rfam family "Bacterial large subunit ribosomal RNA", at positions 1 to 2299 of the family's 2925-position model. The record is from RNAcentral. Lineage: Bacteria; Bacillati; Bacillota; Bacilli; Caryophanales; Listeriaceae.